UGGAAAACUCUUCCAUAUGUCUAAUUUUAGGGGGUGGGGGAAUUAUGAUUUAAACGGGGAUGCGCAGUGUUACACUUAGAGUUGUGAUGCGCUUUGACUUUUGAAAAGUGAAGACGUUGAAGACCGACUUUGAAAGAUAUUCUGUGGAUAUUACGGAGUUAACAGAAGACUGAGAUGGAGGAACAUGAAGAACAGGGCGGCAGUCGUCAGGUGUAGGCAAAUUAUUUAUAGACAGGACAGAGGACGCAGCUCAGAUGAAUCUCCGGAAAGAACUGAAUAUCGCAGAGAAUGUGGAACUGCACGAAGGUUUUUAACGACGCCUCGCUUCGAUGUCCCGACAUAAACUUGCUGCUGUGGCACGGAAGCAGUGUGGUGUGUAGGUCUUAAUGCACUUUGACGACUUAUCGGCCAUACAUCCUGUGAAUGACCUUUUUGCUAAAGCCUAAUGUCAUCGUCUAGCAGUAGGUACAAUUCCGCAUCACCGAUGACCAGGGUGAAGUUGUAGCAGACGAAAUUUUAGACAUACAUUAGGCCUAGUAGGCUAGUAACUAAAGACAUUGUUUACAGUUAUGCUUUUAUCAAUUAUUGAUGAAAGUCCACUGCUUGGAAUACAAAUAAAACCGUAAAUACAUU
Long non-coding RNA from Ostrea edulis (European flat oyster), 633 nucleotides. RefSeq lists it as uncharacterized. The record is from RefSeq and is a predicted model, not a curated record. The transcript is spliced from 2 exons. NCBI's taxonomy places the organism in Eukaryota, Metazoa, Mollusca, Bivalvia, Ostreida, Ostreidae.